This 434-nucleotide ribosomal RNA is filed under the name uncultured Clostridium sp. RNAcentral describes it as "partial 16S ribosomal RNA". It matches the Rfam family "Bacterial small subunit ribosomal RNA", at positions 341 to 792 of the family's 1533-position model. Lineage: Bacteria; Bacillati; Bacillota; Clostridia; Eubacteriales; Clostridiaceae. The record is from RNAcentral. RNAcentral also lists the same sequence under 1 other name.
ACGGAAGGCAGCAGUGGGGAAUAUUGCACAAUGGGGGAAACCCUGAUGCAGCGACGCCGCGUGAGUGAAGAAGUUAUUCGUAAUGUAAAGCUCUAUCAGCAGGGAAGAAGAUGACGGUACCUGACUAAGAAGCACCGGCUAAAUACGUGCCAGCAGCCGCGGUAAUACGUAUGGUGCAAGCGUUAUCCGGAUUUACUGGGUGUAAAGGGAGCGCAGACGGCAGAGCAAGUCUGAAGUGAAAUCCCCGGGCUCAACCCGGGAACUGCUUUGGAAACUGUUUUGCUAGAGUGUCGGAGAGGUAAGUGGAAUUCCUAGUGUAGCGGUGAAAUGCGUAGAUAUUAGGAGGAACACCAGUGGCGAAGGCGGCUUACUGGACGAUAACUGACGUUGAGGCUCGAAAGCGUGGGGAGCAAACAGGAUUAGAUACCCUGGUA